GGGGGCUUAGUGGUGGGGUGACUGCGUACCUUUUGUAUAAUGGGUCAGCGACUUAUAUUCUGUAGCAAGGUUAACCGAAUAGGGGAGCCGGAGGGAAACCGAGUCUUAAUUGGGCGUUAAGUUGCAGGGUAUAGACCCGAAACCCGGUGAUCUAGCCAUGGGCAGGUUGAAGGUUGGGUAACACUAACUGGAGGACCGAACCGACUAAUGUUGAAAAAUUAGCGGAUGACCUGUGGCUGGGGGUGAAAGGCCAAUCAAACCGGGAGAUAGCUGGUUCUCCCCGAAAGCUAUUUAGGUAGCGCCUCGUGAAUUCAUCUCCGGGGGUAGAGCACUGUUUCGGCUAGGGGGCCAUCCCGGCUUACCAACCCGAUGCAAACUGCGAAUACCGGAGAAUGUUAUCACGGGAGACACACGGCGGGUGCUAACGUCCGUCGUGAAGAGGGAAACAACCCAGACCGCCAGCUAAGGUCCCAAAGUCAUGGUUAAGUGGGAAACGAUGUGGGAAGGCCCAGACAGCCAGGAUGUUGGCUUAGAAGCAGCCAUCAUUUAAAGAAAGCGUAAUAGCUCACUGGUCGAGUCGGCCUGCGCGGAAGAUGUAACGGGGCUAAACCAUGCACCGAAGCUGCGGCAGCGAACGUAUCACCCAAGACAACUUUACGGAGUUGACGAUUGACGGAGCGAAGCGACGUCAAAGCGUUCAUUAAAGUCGAGUUGGCUUAGGGAUACGUUCGUUGGGUAGGGGAGCGUUCUGUAAGCCUGUGAAGGUGUGUCGUGAGGCAUGCUGGAGGUAUCAGAAGUGCGAAUGCUGACAUAAGUAACGAUAAAGCGGGUGAAAAGCCCGCUCGCCGGAAGACCAAGGGUUCCUGUCCAACGUUAAUCGGGGCAGGGUGAGUCGACCCCUAAGGCGAGGCCGAAAGGCGUAGUCGAUGGGAAACGGGUUAAUAUUCCCGUACUUGGUGUUACUGCGAAGGGGGGACGGAGAAGGCUAUGUUGGCCGGGCGACGGUUGUCCCGGUUUAAGCGUGUAGGUGUGUGUUCCAGGUAAAUCCGGUUCACUUUAACACUGAGGCGUGACGACGAGGCACUACGGUGCUGAAGCAACAAAUGCCCUGCUUCCAGGAAAAGCCUCUAAGCAUCAGGUAACAUCAAAUCGUACCCCAAACCGACACAGGUGGUCAGGUAGAGAAUACCAAGGCGCUUGAGAGAACUCGGGUGAAGGAACUAGGCAAAAUGGUGCCGUAACUUCGGGAGAAGGCACGCUGACACGUAGGUGAAGUGAUUUACUCA
RNAcentral lists this ribosomal RNA (1286 nucleotides) under Salmonella enterica. Its description in RNAcentral is "partial 23S ribosomal RNA". It matches the Rfam family "Bacterial large subunit ribosomal RNA", at positions 576 to 1773 of the family's 2925-position model. The record is from RNAcentral. Lineage: Bacteria; Pseudomonadati; Pseudomonadota; Gammaproteobacteria; Enterobacterales; Enterobacteriaceae.